GACGAACGCUGGCGGCGUGCCUAAUACAUGCAAGUCGAACGCUGAAGGAGGAGCUUGCUUCUCUGGAUGAGUUGCGAACGGGUGAGUAACGCGUAGGUAACCUGCCUGGUAGCGGGGGAUAACUAUUGGAAACGAUAGCUAAUACCGCAUAAGAGUAGGUGUCGCAUGACAUUUUCUUAAAAGGUGCCAUUGCAUCACUACCAGAUGGACCUGCGUUGUAUUAGCUAGUUGGUGAGGUAACGGCUCAACAAGGCAACGAUACAUAGCCGAGCUGGGAGGGUGGUCCGCCCAAAUGGGAAUGAGGAACGGCCCAGACUUCUACGGGAGGCAGCAGGAGGGAAUCUUCGGAAAUGGACGGAAGUCUGACCGAACCAAGGCGCGUGAGGGAAGAAGGGUUUCGGAUCGUAAAGCUCUGUUGUAAGGGAAGAAAGAGUGUGAGAGUGGAAAGUUCACACUGUGACGGUACCUUACCAGAAAGGGACGGCUAACUACGUG
Molecule: ribosomal RNA, 495 nt
Filed under: uncultured bacterium
Lineage: Bacteria
Description: partial 16S ribosomal RNA
Rfam family: Bacterial small subunit ribosomal RNA
Source: RNAcentral